Molecule: ribosomal RNA, 305 nt
Filed under: uncultured bacterium
Lineage: Bacteria
Description: bacterial SSU rRNA
Rfam family: Bacterial small subunit ribosomal RNA
Source: RNAcentral
GCCUCGGGGCGCAGCAGUCGGGAAUAUUGCGCAAUGGAGGAAACUCUGACGCAGUGACGCCGCGUAUAGGAAGAAGUUUUUCGGAAUGUAAACUAUUGUCGUUAGGGAAGAGAAAGGACAGUACCUAAGGAGGAAGCUCCGGCUAACUACGUGCCAGCAGCCGCGGUAAUACGUAGGGAGCGAGCGUUAUCCGGAAUUACUGGGCGUAAAGGGUGCGUAGGUGGUUUCUUAAGUCAGAGGUGAAAGGCUACGGCUCAACCGUAGUAAGCCUUUGAAACUGGGGAACUUGAGUGCAGGAGAGGAGA